This is a long non-coding RNA of Pogoniulus pusillus (Red-fronted tinkerbird), 1770 nucleotides long. RefSeq lists it as uncharacterized. NCBI's taxonomy places the organism in Eukaryota, Metazoa, Chordata, Aves, Piciformes, Lybiidae. The record is from RefSeq and is a predicted model, not a curated record. The transcript has 2 exons.
CCCCCCCCCCGGGGAAUCGAACCUUGGUUUCCCACACUGCAGGCAAGAAUUCUACCACUGCACCACAACACCCACCCCUUUGGGGAAUCGAACCUGGGUCUCCCACAUGGCAGGCAAAAAUUCUACCACUGCACCACAAAACCCAUCCUCUUUGGGGAAUCGAAUGUGGGUCUCCCACAUGGCAGGCGAGAAUUCUACCACUGCACCGCAAAAGGGCUUGGAACUGGCUGUUCCUUGUGGUUCCUUCCAACCCUGACUGAUUCUAUGACGCUAGUUUUAGUGCUCCACACUCCUCUCUAUUCUCCAGUUUCAUUGGUAAGAAUGUUCCAGUUACUUGCUAUUUGUGCUUGAAGUGCUUUAUUGGUUUUGGCUUGAGCAGUAAUGCAAUUUAAUUUCUGAUAUCAGCUAAGGAAAUUUCAGGAAACAGAUUAAAUAUUCUUCACUUCUCUAUUUUGACAAAGUUUCCAUCUUAACUUUCCCCCGGGUCAAAUUAAUCUGUUGGAGAAAUUCUUGAUUAGCACAGCACACAAGAAUUGAUAAACAUGAGCAACCCAUGCUGGGAACGUCUUUGGUUCCCAGUCAGCUCAGGAAAUGGAGCUGUAAACAGCCGAGCACCCCACACACAGCUGCAGUGGGCAGAGACUAGAUAACCAAAGGGGCUGGAAAAGAUUAGCAACUGGGUGUGAUUAGAGUAAUUAAUUUCAGCUUAUACAUAAUGCUGAAUUCAAGCUCGUAGACAAUAUUGAAGUCAAGCUUAGACAUAAUCACAGGCUCACAGGAUGUCAGGGGUUGGAAGGGACCCAAAGAGAUCAUCGAGUCCAACUCCCCUGCCAGAGCAGGACCAUACAGACUGGCUCAGCUCACAGAGGAACAGAUCCAGACAGGCCUUGAAAGGCUCCAAAGAAUGAGACUCCACAACCUCUCAGGGCAGCCCCUGCCAUCCUGCCGCUGCCCUCCACCUUCCCCCGGCCAGUCUCUGCUGCUUUCCUCCUCUCCACUCUAUGUUACCAGCUUCUGCUCCGUUACCAGUUCCAUUACCAGCUGCGGCUCCUGGUCCGUUACCGGCUCCAGUUCAUGCUCCUGGUCCAUGUUCACAUCCAUCGCAGAAUCUAGAGUAAAACUUUUGAAGAUCCUCGUCCGUUACCAGCUCUAGUUUGUGCUCCUGCUCCAUCAUUGCCUCCAUCGCAGAACCUAGAGCAAAACCUUUGAGGAUCCAAACUCAGCCUCAAGAACAACACAGACUUAGCACCCGUGAGCUAAGAUGGAUGUUGCAGUGGGGGUCAGCACCGAGGUGCCAGCUCCUGUUUGGUGGUGCUCAGCAAUGGGACAAGUAACAACAGACAGAAGCUGCUCCGCCUCAACAGGAGCAGAGAUUUCUUGGCUGGGAGGCUGACAGAGGACUGGAACAGACUGAAACCAAAACAUUGCUCAGAACACAGAAGAACCUCUGAAGCAAUGGCAAAAAGCUCAAGGAAAAGAGGUUGGAUUUUCAUGAUUCUGUCCCUUAAAAUAUGUCAGACUAACAGCAGAGUGAAAAAUGUGAAAUUCAUGCAGCUGGAACAAUGAGAACUAUGGCAGACAUGAUUGGCUAUUUUAAUCAAGAAGUUCAUUUGGUUUAAGCCUAGUUAUAAAUAGUGACAAUAGAUACACUAGGCACAGCAUAGCAACAAGCUUACAUCAAAGCAUUUCUGAAGCCUCUGCAACUAAGUCCUUCUUGACUGACAAGAGCAUCACUUCACUGAAUAAGCAAUAAACUCUACCAUUACAGCA